AGAGUUUGAUCCUGGCUCAGGAUGAACGCUGGCGGCGUGCCUAAUACAUGCAAGUCGAGCGAACGGACGAGAAGCUUGCUUCUCUGAUGUUAGCGGCGGACGGGUGAGUAACACGUGGAUAACCUACCUAUAAGACUGGGAUAACUUCGGGAAACCGGAGCUAAUACCGGAUAAUAUUUUGAACCGCAUGGUUCAAAAGUGAAAGACGGUCUUGCUGUCACUUAUAGAUGGAUCCGCGCUGCAUUAGCUAGUUGGUAAGGUAACGGCUUACCAAGGCAACGAUGCAUAGCCGACCUGAGAGGGUGAUCGGCCACACUGGAACUGAGACACGGUCCAGACUCCUACGGGAGGCAGCAGUAGGGAAUCUUCCGCAAUGGGCGAAAGCCUGACGGAGCAACGCCGCGUGAGUGAUGAAGGUCUUCGGAUCGUAAAACUCUGUUAUUAGGGAAGAACAUAUGUGUAAGUAACUGUGCACAUCUUGACGGUACCUAAUCAGAAAGCCACGGCUAACUACGUGCCAGCAGCCGCGGUAAUACGUAGGUGGCAAGCGUUAUCCGGAAUUAUUGGGCGUAAAGCGCGCGUAGGCGGUUUUUUAAGUCUGAUGUGAAAGCCCACGGCUCAACCGUGGAGGGUCAUUGGAAACUGGAAAACUUGAGUGCAGAAGAGGAAAGUGGAAUUCCAUGUGUAGCGGUGAAAUGCGCAGAGAUAUGGAGGAACACCAGUGGCGAAGGCGACUUUCUGGUCUGUAACUGACGCUGAUGUGCGAAAGCGUGGGGAUCAAACAGGAUUAGAUACCCUGGUAGUCCACGCCGUAAACGAUGAGUGCUAAGUGUUAGGGGGUUUCCGCCCCUUAGUGCUGCAGCUAACGCAUUAAGCACUCCGCCUGGGGAGUACGACCGCAAGGUUGAAACUCAAAGGAAUUGACGGGGACCCGCACAAGCGGUGGAGCAUGUGGUUUAAUUCGAAGCAACGCGAAGAACCUUACCAAAUCUUGACAUCCUUUGACAACUCUAGAGAUAGAGCUUUCCCCUUCGGGGGACAAAGUGACAGGUGGUGCAUGGUUGUCGUCAGCUCGUGUCGUGAGAUGUUGGGUUAAGUCCCGCAACGAGCGCAACCCUUAAGCUUAGUUGCCAUCAUUAAGUUGGGCACUCUAAGUUGACUGCCGGUGACAAACCGGAGGAAGGUGGGGGAUGACGUCAAAUCAUCAUGCCCCUUAUGAUUUGGGCUACACACGUGCUACAAUGGACAAUACAAAGGGCAGCGAAACCGUGAGGUCAAGCA
Molecule: ribosomal RNA, 1281 nt
Filed under: Staphylococcus aureus M1435
Lineage: Bacteria; Bacillati; Bacillota; Bacilli; Caryophanales; Staphylococcaceae
Description: bacterial SSU rRNA
Rfam family: Bacterial small subunit ribosomal RNA
Source: RNAcentral